UACGGUUAACAUUUGUUCGUGUUUCUUCUGGAUUACGAAAAAUACAUAUGGAAUACAGAAUUACAUGUUCAAGUAUUAGAAUUUAUAUGAAGCUAAUUCUUUAUUAUAUAAUUUUGGGAAACCAAGCAUUGCAAAAAUUAUACUCUAACACUAACUCCUCCCUUCAGCCUCUUGUUUCUUACCUCAGUACUUUAAUUGCUAAUGGCUAUCUAACAAUCUCACUCUCUAAUUCUUCAAUAAUAAUGUUUAUCAAGUUUUCCACUACAUUCUUCAUAUCCUGCUAAUUUUAUUGUUAUUUUUGAAACAAAGAUCAGCACGUCUAGCCAAACUCUAUGCUCUAGCACGGUUCACUAAUGUCAGAUGCCUAAUCUAAUGUUGAAAACAAAGUUUAAUACUAAUGCAACUUCUUAAAACGAAUGUAUCCUAUGAAGAUCAUGAUGAACCUUUGCAAUAUGAAUAAGUAAGAAAGAUUUGCUGGAAUCAGGAACAAAAGCUGCGUGAAAGGAUCAAAGUUUCCAGCUUUUAUACGGUUCCCAUUACUGAGAAUGAACACAAACGUGUGUUCCAAAAAAAAAAAAAAAAA
This 583-nucleotide long non-coding RNA is filed under the name Brassica napus (rape). RNAcentral's name for it is "long non-coding RNA (BNAP_LNC011560)". Lineage: Eukaryota; Viridiplantae; Streptophyta; Magnoliopsida; Brassicales; Brassicaceae. The record is from RNAcentral.